GAUGAAGAACGCAGCGAAAUGCGAUAAGUAAUGUGAAUUGCAGAAUUCAGUGAAUCAUCGAGUCUUUGAACGCACAUUGCGCCCCCUGGUAUUCCGGGGGGCAUGCCUGUCCGAGCGUCAUUGCUGCCCUCAAGCACGGCUUGUGUGUUGGGCCCCCGUCCCCGGUUUCCCCCGGGGACGGACCCGAAAGGCAGCGGCGGCACCGCGUCCGGUCCUCGAGCGUAUGGGGCUUUGUCACCCGCUCUGUAGGCCCGGCCGGCGCCAGCCGACACCCAACUUUAUUUCUAAGGUUGACCUCGGAUCAGGUAGGGAUACCCGCUGAACUUAAGCAUAUCAAUAAGCGGAGGA
RNAcentral lists this unclassified non-coding RNA (348 nucleotides) under soil metagenome. RNAcentral describes it as "partial contains 5.8S ribosomal RNA, internal transcribed spacer 2, and large subunit ribosomal RNA". The stretch from base 1 to 120 matches the Rfam family "5.8S ribosomal RNA", at positions 35 to 154 of the family's 154-position model. The record is from RNAcentral.